This is a long non-coding RNA of Amphimedon queenslandica, 228 nucleotides long. RefSeq lists it as uncharacterized. NCBI's taxonomy places the organism in Eukaryota, Metazoa, Porifera, Demospongiae, Haplosclerida, Niphatidae. The record is from RefSeq and is a predicted model, not a curated record. The transcript is spliced from 2 exons.
UUAUUAUUAUUAUUAUUUAUUAUUAUUAUUAUUAUUAUUUUUAUUGUUAUUAUUAUUAAGAGAGUGAGAAAAGUCUUCAGCAUCUUGUGAAACAGUUCAGAGGAAUAGGACUGAGUAUGAAUACAGGGGAAAGAAAAUAUCUAAGAAGCUCUUCUUGUUCGUAUACAGUAUCAGAAAUGGUACUCACAAGAACUUGAGGAGGCAUUUCCUUCAAAUUGGAAUAAAACC